Molecule: ribosomal RNA, 132 nt
Filed under: Moraxella catarrhalis
Lineage: Bacteria; Pseudomonadati; Pseudomonadota; Gammaproteobacteria; Moraxellales; Moraxellaceae
Description: partial 16S ribosomal RNA
Rfam family: Bacterial small subunit ribosomal RNA
Source: RNAcentral
AGAAUGCUGCGGUGAAUACGUUCCCGGGCCUUGUACACACCGCCCGUCACACCAUGGGAGUUGAUCUCACCAGAAGUGGUUAGCCUAACGCAAGAGGGCGAUCACCACGGUGGGGUCGAUGACUGGGGUGAA